UAAGGAAUAUUGGACAAUGGGCGCAAGCCUGAUCCAGCCAUGCCGCGUGAAGGAUUAAGGUCCUCUGGAUUGUAAACUUCUUUUAUAAGGGACGAAAAAAGGGAAUUCUUUCUCACUUGACGGUACCUUAUGAAUAAGCACCGGCUAACUCCGUGCCAGCAGCCGCGGUAAUACGGAGGGUGCAAGCGUUAUCCGGAUUCACUGGGUUUAAAGGGUGCGUAGGCGGGUAUUUAAGUCAGUGGUGAAAUCCUAGAGCUUAACUCUAGAGCUGACAUUGGUACUAUGUAUCGUGAAUAGUGUGGAGGUAAGCGGAAGAUGGAAUGUAGGGGUGAAAUGAUUAGAUAGGACAGAGAAAACCGAGGGCGAAGGCAGCUUACUAAGCAUAUAUUGACGCUGAGGCACGAAAGCGUGGGGAGCAAA
RNAcentral lists this ribosomal RNA (420 nucleotides) under uncultured bacterium. RNAcentral's name for it is "bacterial SSU rRNA". It matches the Rfam family "Bacterial small subunit ribosomal RNA", at positions 355 to 772 of the family's 1533-position model. The record is from RNAcentral.